This 449-nucleotide ribosomal RNA is filed under the name uncultured bacterium. RNAcentral's name for it is "partial 16S ribosomal RNA". It matches the Rfam family "Bacterial small subunit ribosomal RNA", at positions 29 to 523 of the family's 1533-position model. The record is from RNAcentral.
AGCGAACGCUGGCGGCAGGCCUAACACAUGCAAGUCGAACGAACUCUUCGGAGUUAGUGGCGCACGGGUGAGUAACACGUGGGAACGUGCCUCUAGGUUCGGAAUAACUCAGGGAAACUCGUGCUAAUACCGAAUGUGCCCUUCGGGGGAAAGAUUUAUCGCCUUUCGAGCGGCCCGCGUCUGAUUAGCUAGUUGGUGAGGUAAAGGCUCACCAAGGCGACGAUCAGUAGCUGGUCUGAGAGGAUGAUCAGCCACAUUGGGACUGAGACACGGCCCAAACUCCUACGGGAGGCAGCAGUGGGGAAUCUUGCGCAAUGGGCGAAAGCCUGACGCAGCCAUGCCGCGUGAAUGAUGAAGGUCUUAGGAUUGUAAAAUUCUUUCACCGGGGACGAUAAUGACGGUACCCGGAGAAGAAGCCCCGGCUAACUUCGUGCCAGCAGCCGCGGUAA